UACGGGGGGAGCAAGCGUUGUUCGGAUUUACUGGGCGUAAAGGGCGCGUAGGCGGCGCGACAAGUCACUUGUGAAAUCUCCGGGCUUAACCCGGAGCGGCCAAGUGAUACUGUAGUGCUAGAGUGCAGAAGGGGCAACUGGAAUUCUCGGUGUAGCGGUGAAAUGCGUAGAUAUCAGGAGGAACACCGGUGGCGAAGGCGGGUCUCUGGGCCGAUACUGACGCUGAGGAGCGAAAGCGUGGGGAGCGAACAGG
This 253-nucleotide ribosomal RNA is filed under the name uncultured bacterium. RNAcentral's name for it is "partial 16S ribosomal RNA". It matches the Rfam family "Bacterial small subunit ribosomal RNA", at positions 524 to 776 of the family's 1533-position model. The record is from RNAcentral.